RNAcentral lists this ribosomal RNA (399 nucleotides) under uncultured bacterium. RNAcentral describes it as "bacterial SSU rRNA". It matches the Rfam family "Bacterial small subunit ribosomal RNA", at positions 356 to 772 of the family's 1533-position model. The record is from RNAcentral.
GGGGAAUAUUGGACAAUGGGGGCAACCCUGAUCCAGCAAUGCCGCGUGAGUGAUGAAGGCCUUCGGGUCGUAAAGCUCUUUUACCAGGGAUGAUAAUGACAGUACCUGGAGAAUAAGCUCCGGCUAACUCCGUGCCAGCAGCCGCGGUAAUACGAAGGGGGCUAGCGUUGUUCGGAAUUACUGGGCGUAAAGCGCACGUAGGCGGCUUUGUAAGUUAGAGGUGAAAGCCCAGGGCUCAACCCUGGAAUUGCCUUUAAGACUGCAUCGCUUGAAUCAUGGAGAGGUGAGUGGAAUUCCGAGUGUAGAGGUGAAAUUCGUAGAUAUUCGGAAGAACACCAGUGGCGAAGGCGACUCACUGGACAUGUAUUGACGCUGAGGUGCGAAAGCGUGGGGAGCAAA